CCGGGGGCUAACGCCCCCGGCUACAUUGUGCCGCCCCUUGCGGGGCU
RNAcentral lists this small RNA (47 nucleotides) under Planctomyces sp. SCGC AG-212-M04. RNAcentral's name for it is "Acido-Lenti-1 RNA". It matches the Rfam family "Acido-Lenti-1 RNA". Lineage: Bacteria; Pseudomonadati; Planctomycetota; Planctomycetia; Planctomycetales; Planctomycetaceae. The record is from Rfam by way of RNAcentral.